Molecule: unclassified non-coding RNA, 299 nt
Filed under: plant metagenome
Description: partial contains 5.8S ribosomal RNA, internal transcribed spacer 2, and large subunit ribosomal RNA
Rfam family: 5.8S ribosomal RNA (bases 1-105)
Source: RNAcentral
GAAAUGCGAUAAGUAAUGUGAAUUGCAGAAUUCGGUGAAUCAUCGAAUCUUUGAACGCACAUUGCGCCCCCUGGUAUUCCGGGGGGCAUGCCUGUUCGAGCGUCAUUUCACCACUCAAGCCUCGCUUGGUAUUGGGCGACGCGGUCCGCCGCGCGCCUCAAAUCGACCGGCUGGGUCUUCCGUCCCCUCAGCGUUGUGGAAACUAUUCGCUAAAGGGUGCCGCGGGAGGUCACGCCGCAAAACAACCCCAUUUCUAAGGUUGACCUCGGAUCAGGUAGGGAUACCCGCUGAACUUAAGC